AUCGAACGCUGGCGGCAGGCCUAACACAUGCAAGUCGAGCGGAAGAAGGGAGCUUGCUCCUGGAUUCAGCGGCGGACGGGUGAGUAAUGCCUAGGAAUCUGCCUGGUAGUGGGGGAUAACGUCCGGAAACGGGCGCUAAUACCGCAUACGUCCUGAGGGAGAAAGUGGGGGAUCUUCGGACCUCACGCUAUCAGAUGAGCCUAGGUCGGAUUAGCUAGUUGGUGGGGUAAAGGCCUACCAAGGCGACGAUCCGUAACUGGUCUGAGAGGAUGAUCAGUCACACUGGAACUGAGACACGGUCCAGACUCCUACGGGAGGCAGCAGUGGGGAAUAUUGGACAAUGGGCGAAAGCCUGAUCCAGCCAUGCCGCGUGUGUGAAGAAGGUCUUCGGAUUGUAAAGCACUUUAAGUUGGGAGGAAGGGCAGUAAGUUAAUACCUUGCUGUUUUGACGUUACCAACAGAAUAAGCACCGGCUAACUUCGUG
RNAcentral lists this ribosomal RNA (484 nucleotides) under uncultured bacterium. RNAcentral describes it as "partial 16S ribosomal RNA". It matches the Rfam family "Bacterial small subunit ribosomal RNA", at positions 30 to 507 of the family's 1533-position model. The record is from RNAcentral.